UACGGAGGAUGCGAGCGUUAUCCGGAUUUAUUAGGUCUAAAGGGUGCGUAGGCGGAUAAUUAAGUCAGUGGUGAAAUCCUGCAGCUUAACUGUAGAACUGCCAUUGAUACUGGUUGUCUUGAGUUUAGUUGAGGUAAGCGGAAUGUGUAGUGUAGCGGUGAAAUGCUUAGAUAUUACACAGAACACCGAUUGCGAAGGCAGCUUACUAAGCUACAACUGACGCUGAGGCACGAAAGCGUGGGGAGCGAACAGGAUUAGAUACCCUGGUAGUCCACGCCGUAAACGAUGAUCACUCGUUGUAUGUCAAAUUAAUGGCAUGUGACUGAGCGAAAGCAUUAAGUGAUCCACCUGGGGAGUACGUCGGCAACGAUGAAACUCAAAGGAAUUGACGGGGGCCCGCACAAGCGGAGGAACAUGUGGUUUAAUUCGAUGAUACGCGAGGAACCUUACCUGGGCUUAAAUGUAGAACGACUUUUGCCGAAAGGCAUUUUCCCUUCGGGGCGAUCUACAAGGUGCUGCAUGGUUGUCGUCAGCUCGUGCCGUGAGGUGUCGGGUUAAGUCCCAUAACGAGCGCAACCCUCAUCGUUAGUUACCAGCGGAUAAUGCCGGGGACUCUAGCGAGACUGCCACCGUAAGGUGAGAGGAAGGUGGGGAUGACGUCAAAUCAGCACGGCCCUUAUGUCCAGGGCUACACACGUGUUACAAUGGUCAGUACAAAGGGAAGCUACCUGGUGACAGGAUGCAAAUCUCUAAAACUGGUCUCAGUUCGGAUCGGAGUCUGCAACUCGACUCCGUGAAGUUGGAUUCGCUAGUAAUCGCGCAUCAGCAACGGCGCGGUGAAUACGUUCCCGGGCCU
Molecule: ribosomal RNA, 856 nt
Filed under: uncultured bacterium
Lineage: Bacteria
Description: SSU rRNA
Rfam family: Bacterial small subunit ribosomal RNA
Source: RNAcentral